UGCUGCGAUAGUGCAUUACGACUUUAGCCUCCUGGAACAACCACAGAUGACUUUGAUUAAAGAGGAUUGGAUUAGAAGUGUGUUCAGCUUCACAUUAUUGAAAUGUAUUCAGUAUGCCAGCUAAUCUGUUUAUAUGGAUGACUUUCUCACAGAAGCAUAAUGUUGAACAGCAGGAUUAGCAAGGGCUUACUCAAGUGACUUAUAGCACCCACUUAACCCAAAGUAACAAGAGAGGCAACCUCAUCCUCCAUCAGAACAGCAUUGAUCAGAAAGGGUGACAACUCUGGAAAAACAGCUUCUCCAAGAGGUUGAGCAGAUUACAGAACCUCUGAAGAUGCUCAUAAAUCACGGGCGAGUUCCUGUGGAAAGGA
Non-coding RNA from Pogona vitticeps (central bearded dragon), 371 nucleotides. Lineage: Eukaryota; Metazoa; Chordata; Lepidosauria; Squamata; Agamidae. The record is from RefSeq and is a predicted model, not a curated record.